Molecule: ribosomal RNA, 1801 nt
Filed under: Taeniella carcini
Lineage: Eukaryota; Ichthyosporea; Ichthyophonida; Eccrinaceae
Description: eukaryotic LSU rRNA
Rfam family: Eukaryotic large subunit ribosomal RNA
Source: RNAcentral
UUUCAAAGCUCCGUGGGCGACCACGGCGCGUUGUAGACUAAAGGGGCAGCAUCCGCAUUGCGGGGCUCGGGUAUAGAUCCGUUGGAACGCGGUAUCACAGAGGGUGAGAAUCCCGUACGUGACUCGAGUGACCUCCCCGCAUUUCUGCGUUGCGCUUCCGAAGAGUCGGGUUGUUUGGGAAUGCAGCCCAAAAUGGGUGGUAAACUUCAUCUAAGGCUAAAUAUUGGCACGAGACCGAUAGCGAACAAGUACCGUGAGGGAAAGAUGAAAAGCACUUUGAAAAGGGAGUCAAAAAGUACGUGAAACCGUUAAGAGGGAAACGAAUGGAGCUAGCAUUUGUGCCUGGUCACAAUCAGCCGGACGCCGGUGCGGACGUGGCGGCGGUAAGAAAGGGCCUUAAAAACCCUUUCCUCGGAGAGCUUCCUCGAGCGCGUGCAAACGCGAUGCCGAGGGGCCUCACGCCGUUGCGAAUCGUUAAUUCCGUGCCGGUGGGAAAGCCGGUGCACUUGUGAUCGGUAUCAGGCCAACAUCAGUUCGGUGAUUCUAGCCAAACGAAGGAGACAGGGACCUUGGGGGGAAGGUGGCCGGGCCACGACAUUCGUGUCGCGUCUCGGUGUUAUAGCCCUCUUAGGAAAACUUUUCUAGCGUCGCGGCCCGGACUGAGGAAACGCAGCAGCGCGCUCUCUUUCUCGGGGGACUCGUUCCUUUGAGAUCGAGAAAACUUGCAGAGCUCUCGCUGGGGUGCCAGGCGGCCGUGACUGCUUUCAAAUGAUUGCAGUGGCGGUCGCCACGGGCGGCUCUUCAAAGAGAAGUAGUCGGCCGUGCGCGCGCCUCACGCCUACCUGCGACGGGGGUCUACGCAUUACACGCGCUUGUGAUGUUGGCGAAAUGGCUUCAUCCGACCCGUCUUGAAACACGGACCAAGGAGUCUAACAUAUACGCGAGUCUUUGGGUGACAAACCCGCGGGCGCAAUGAAAGUGAAGGCGCGCCUUUUGUCGUGCGCAUAAAAACGCCGUGAGGUGAGACGCCAACCGAAUUCGUUCGGGAGGCCGCAUCAUCGACCGAUCCGGAUGGGCCGGGGAGAGGGGCUUCGGUUCUUCACCUUUGGAUUUCCUGAAAGAUUUGAGUAAGAGCGUAUCUGUUGGGACCCGAAAGAUGGUGAACUAUGCCUGAACAGGGUGAAGUCUGAGGAAACUCAGAUGGAAGCUCGCAGCGAUUCUGACGUGCAAAUCGAUCGUCUGAUUUGGGUAUAGGGGCGAAAGACUAAUCGAACCAUCUAGUAGCUGGUUCCCUCCGAAAUUUCCCUCAGGAUAGCUGGAACUCGAAACGCAGUUUUAUCAGGUAAAGCGAAUGAUUAGAGGCCUUGGGGUCGAAAUGACCUCAACCUAUUCUCAAACUUUAAAUGGGUAAGAAGCGCGACUUGCUUAAGUGAAGCCGUGCCAUAACCGAAUGCAAGAGUUCCAAGUGGGCCAUUUUUGGUAAGCAGAACUGGCGAUGCGGGAUGAACCGAACGCGAAGUUAAAGUGCCAAAGUUCACGCUCACCUAGAACCCAUAAAAGGUGUUGGCUGAUGAAGACAGCAGGACGGUGGCCAUGGAAGUCGGAAUCCGCUAAGGAGUGUGUAACAACUCACCUGCCGAAUCAGCCAGCCCUGAAAAUGGAUGGCGCUCAAGCGUGACACUCAUACUUCGCCGUUGCCGCAAACAAAGCAGACGCAUACUCUUUAUUUUGCCGCAACGAGUAGGAGGGCGUGGAGGUAAUUUGUGAAGCAGCUUCGGGCGUGAGCCUGAGUGAAACUGCC